UAGGGAAUAUUGGACAAUGGGUGAGAGCCUGAUCCAGCCAUGCCGCGUGCAGGAUGAAGUAUUUCGGUAUGUAAACUUCGAAAGAAUAGGAAGAAUAAAUGACGGUACUAUUUAUAAGGUCCGGCUAACUACGUGCCAGCAGCCGCGGUAAUACGUAGGGACCAAGCGUUGUUCGGAUUUACUGGGCGUAAAGGGCGCGUAGGCGGCAUGACAAGUCACUUGUGAAAUCUCUGGGCUUAACCCAGAACGGCCAAGUGAUACUGUCGCGCUAGAGUGCAGAAGGGGCAAUCGGAAUUCUUGGUGUAGCGGUGAAAUGCGUAGAUAUCAAGAGGAACACCUGAGGUGAAGACGGGUUGCUGGGCUGACACUGACGCUGAGGCGCGAAAGCCAGGGGAGCAAACGGGAUUAGAUACCCACGUAGUCCCUGAGCGGGCUGGCAAGGCGCAU
This 447-nucleotide ribosomal RNA is filed under the name uncultured bacterium. RNAcentral describes it as "bacterial SSU rRNA". It matches the Rfam family "Bacterial small subunit ribosomal RNA", at positions 355 to 825 of the family's 1533-position model. The record is from RNAcentral.